RNAcentral lists this long non-coding RNA (2862 nucleotides) under Pongo abelii (Sumatran orangutan). RNAcentral's name for it is "lncRNA (ENSPPYG00000034635.1)". The record is from RNAcentral. Lineage: Eukaryota; Metazoa; Chordata; Mammalia; Primates; Hominidae.
UAAAGUGCAAGUGUUUUAAUGUUUAUGUAAAUUAUGCAGGUGAUAACAUGGUUUGGAACUGUUUAUUGGGCUCUUUAACUGAAUUUUCAAAUGAAAUGAACUAUGCUUAUUGCUGGCACAUUGAUCCCGUUUCUGGAACAUUUUUCCUAUUUCCAGAGUUACAUAUGUUCUUUUGUCAUUACCCAAUUUAACCUCCCUUUCUCUGAUAUGCCUUGUAGCCAAAGUAUUAAAGGCUGAUGAACAUAGACAAGGGAAAUGCAUUUCUUAGAAAUCCGUGAACCCUGUAUGCUUUCAGUACUCGUGUUAAUAUGUUUCUAUGGCAACUCUGAGGUCAGUGGUUUAGAAAUGAGAUACCAAUGUUAAUGAAAAGUGUGUGCUCUUUGCUUUUGCAUGGCUUGGCUUAGUAUCCAAGGUAUAUUAAGGCCACUUGAAAGCAUGAAGACCAGUUAUAUAGGGAACAGGUUUCUCUCAGUGGCACAUUCUGCUUUUUCUGACCCCAAAUACAUUGCCUGGGCAUGAACAUUGUUACCGUAAAUUGCACAUGGUCGUGGACUGAAUUAUGUGACUUUAAAGGAUGUAACUGCCCAACAUUUGCAGAUUCUGGGUGGUCUAUGUGACCAUUUGGCUCGUAUCCAAAAACCCCGGGGCUAUUGGAACCCUUCCAACACUUUUUCCUUUGUCAUAGACAAGUGUAUAUAUAACUUACCAAGAUGUUGGCUGUCCUGGUAUAUUGCCAGACAGCUCUCUUUUGGUUCCCAUUCCAAAUGUGCUGCUGUCCUUCUUUGCAUUUCACAAUAUCAAAGAAACCACCACCCUUCUUCCUAACAGCAUUUUAUGCCUUUUAUUCCACAUUAAAUGGGAAUUGUGCCUACUUAGGAGUGCCCCUCCAAUUAAUUACAUGUGUCCAAGAAUAAUCCAAGCCAGAGACACAGGUGGGAAAACAUUUAAAAAAAAAAAAAGAAGUCCUCUUAAGGCCAGUAAUUUAUCUGAAAAGGUAUUUUAUCACACCUUGACACCUUAUAUAUGAGCCUAUUAGGAGCUGCAGGUGGUUUCAUAGGGUAAAAUCCAAGAAAAGAGAAGGAUGUGUGGGGUUUCUAUUAGAAGAUAAUUUUAUUCUCAUUUUACCUGUUCUUUUAUGAUCCUUCUCUGCUAGAACAGGUUAAUUCUCCAAAUUUGUUUUGUUUUGUUUGUUUUAUUUUUUAGGGAAAAUUUUGCAAAAGCAAUGGUCGGAUGUAAAUAACAUUUAAAGUAUAGUGCACAUAACUUCCCCGAACUGUUCCAAUCUGAUAAUUUGUAAAUGCUUUAGAGUUUUUUAAAUUAACACUUGUGUUGCUAAAUCCUAUUUAUGUAAGUCUGCUAAAGUUUUUUAGCCCACUUAAAACUUAAGACAACCAUUUAAAUAAUGGAUGGGUUACUAUGAGCAAUUUAGCUUUCAGAACCCCCUUGUUUUAGUAUAUGAAAAAGCCUAAUGCGCAUUAAUGAGGUUGAAGAGACUAUGAGAAAUAUGUAUAGUGUAUAUUUUAAAACAGCUUUGCUUGUAUUGUGAAGAUUUAAGAACAAACUUGAGAUUUUUAACGUAACUAUUAACACAGUUUUAACAUAAGUUAUCCCACUGGGUUUAAGAGCAUCUUGAAUGUAUAAUCCUUUUUGUAACCCAGGUUGGUUUCUACUUUUACCAGUCACCCAAACAUAUUUAUGUUUUUAGUUUUAUGUACUCAUUUCCCUUUGUUUUCCUCAAACAGCAUGAUUUUUUUGCACAUGUAGAAAUUUUUUAAAAGAAAUAAAUUAGUACAUCAUUUUCUCUGGAUUUUCUUCACUUCCCUCUUCCUUUCUACUAACCCCUUCCUUAAAGGCCAUAUCACUCCAUUUGCAUUAUUUGUGCAAAUGCCAGGGUUGGUUUUUAUUUUUAUUUUUGCUAUUUACCUAAAAAAAGAAAAUGCUUCAGUCAAUUGCUUUUUUACUUAAAAAAAAAAGAAAAGAAAAAAAGCUGUAACCUUAUCAUUUCUGAGUAGACCAUUGAGCGAUGAAUGCACACCUGUAAUAGCCCAGGACCAGCUGUGGUGGCUAAAGGGAAUAUGUUAAUUAAGUAAGAGGUUCUUUUCUAAAAGUGGUAUCUGUCUGUUAUCCACAGUGUAUUUCAGUUAUUCCCACAAGUCAGGGGUCCAGAUAAAAUGAGGGUUAUCAGCUAACUGAUAAUGCUAUCAUUGAGGUUCAUCAAUGAAUUUGUACAUUUCUAGUUCCCUUUGGUGAAGGGAAAAAUGAUGAUUUUGCAAGACCUAGAUUUUGGCUUGGUUUCUUGCCUCCUUUUUUGGCAGCCUUCAUCUUCUCAUCUCCCAAACCCCCUGAGCCUGUAGGGUUUUCAUAGUGGACAAAGAACUUGUGGUCUUUUAAAACUGGGACUGAUACUUUUUUGAGAGAGUAUCGUGUCGAAAGUGUGAUGUUCUACCACUUUACCAAUAACUAAUUUUAAAUACACAUUGUCCUCUCGAUUUUUGGACCAAACGCUCACAGUGGAGGCUUAUCAAGGGUUGCAUUGGGGAAGAAGCCUCUCCCUCUCUGUCAGCACCAGCUGGUAAAGGUGACUGUACAGAUGUGCAUUUUCCUUUUGGUAUAAAUGGUCCACAGCACUAACUGGUAAGGCUUAUUGUACAGUAUAUUGUCAGUAUUCUUCUGGUUCAGCAUACCUUAUAGUUCAUAUAUAACCUGUAUUAAUUGUAUAGAUUGUGCAUUUAAAGCUGUUACCAAGUUGUCAGAACAUAAGAGCGAAAACAAGGUCAUAUGUAAUAUUUUGUUUGUAAGUAUCCUUUGUAUCAUAGCAAAGGAAAUGUUUAAAAAAAUCAACUGUAAUAAAGUAAUUUUAGU